GAGGCCCAGCAUAUUGCGAUGCAGCUCCUGUUUCUCUGGGAACUCCUAACAAAGUCAGAGACAGGAUUAUACAAUAGUAGAAGCACAGUGAUAUUGAGAACAAGAGACCCUGGGUAAAGGUUGUGCAGUGCUCCUAAAAAGGGCACUCCAAGAACAGUUUCAUGCCACUGUAGUUAAGGAACAUCUCACAGUUAUCAGGGGUCUCAUCAGUAAUGUUCCAGAGGGCGCUCCAGGAGAACUCCAUCACCUGAUCGCACUACGAAGCCAAAGAGAAAGGGAAAGAAACAGAUUUGCAAAUGUGGGAGCCCAGUGCAAACCAGCCACUUGUGGUUCAUCUCUGCCAUCGCCCCAGAUGAAUUCAGGGAAAACCACGGUCCUCCUUCCCCAAGCCUCCCAGCUCCUUUCCAAACCAUACAACCGCUUCCCCACAGCCCUGAGACGUACUCGUUGACAAGUUUGUCGCAAAUCUCGCUUGGCAAGAAGAUGUCAGGGUGGAGUCGGAGCGUUUCGUUGUCCAGCAGGUAGCAGAGAGUCCCCUCCAAGUUGCGAAGGCAGAAAUCUGUGCACAAGGUCAUUAGCGACUCCGGGCUGUCGGAUGCCAUCUUGAGGGAAGCAGUGGGCAGGGGAAGGACAGAAGGAAGCUUUUGGUUCAGAAGAUCCUUUCCUCAAACGAAAUCCCAGGAUGGAUUUACAGAGACAUCAGGGCAGCUAUAAGCAGAGGAGGAAGAACAAAAAAAAGGCAUUGAGAAAGGCACACUGGAAAGCAUCCUGCAAAGCUGCUGUACCAGCGAGGAUGUUGAUGGGUUUAUUUACAGCCCAUCACUUGCUGACCUCAAAAGAACCUGCAGCAUUUUGGCCUCUCUGGGACUUAAUUCCUUGGCAACCCCACCCCCAGGGGACACCGAGGGAAUGAGUUAAUAUGAAACAUGUUUGGAAAUGAGGCGACACAGCAAGAAAAUGCUUCCUCAUGGCAGGAGUUAUCUGGCUGACGAAGGGCCUCUGAAAGGGAAGUGGCAGAAACCACAGUGCUUGGUUUCCUUCAGAGUGGCUCGGAUAAACCACCAGAAAAUUUACUGUUGGGAAGAUCCUUUGUGCAGCCCCAGUGGGACCUGGUGGCCCCGUAUCUCGUGCCUGUAAUUGUUGGCCAUCGUUCCAAGUGAAGUUCAAGCUGGGUGCUUCUCUGCAGCUCCAAGCCAGAAGCUUCGUGCAAGUCCCUGAGCUAGACCAUGAAGUGGAGCAGAAGCCAGAGGGAAGCACAUGGACUGCUUUGGCUUCCCUUGCUGAGCGCAGCGAAAAGGUUUAUGCACGUGAAGGACAUCGAUGAGUGCAGCUGGAACUUGCUCACCUAAAACGUUCCAAAUUCUGUUAGAAAAAAAGUACAGGCAACUGACUGGGAAAAAGGCGAGGGACUUUUUCCUCUUCUUGGUUUUUAGCACCAGAUGAAGAAGGAUGGCGAGGCAGGCAGUCAGGGGAGGCUAUUUCUGUCCAUUUUCUUGUUUCAAAAAUCUCCUGGCUCUGCUUUUCAGGCUUGCUUGCUUGCUGGCACCGAAGGAGCCCUAGCUGAGUGCACUGACGGUGUUUAGGAGAAAUGACUGAAGAACAGCAACUCCUGUUUCACUUUCAAAAGGGUCAAAUCACGUUAGAAACAACCCUAAUGUGAACCCUUCAAUACGUUUCCAUGAGCAUACAAGAACUGUGUUGAAAUGUUUAUUUCUGAGGAAAUAAACACGUGUUUGUUUUUUUUUUCAAUAGGUGUGUCCCUACUGCAGUGAGGACACUGAAUGCUAUGGAGUUAUUCUCCUCUGCACAACAGCUGAGCAGCCUUUGCUGGGGAAGCUGUUGCAAAAUGCCUAACUAUAUGCCGUUUCUGAUCUUUAUCCUGCAGCUGCAAGGAUUGGGGCGCUUGUCUGUCUCUAGCUCUCUGCUUCUGAGUGUUCCUCUAAAGCCUCUGGUGCUCUCUUCCCUUCGUUCCUGCAGUAGCUGCACACGAUGCAAGAAUUUCAGGCAAAUUCAAAUUCAGGCACCAAAUGGUCCCUGUGGGAGACAGCAGCACAGCCCUGACUGAGGCUCCUGGCCUCCUGAUCCCUCCCUACGCUGCAGAAUGGAUUUCUGUGCAGACACAAGGGCAACACAAGUUGCAAAUCAAAGCUCUUUUCUUCCCUCUGUGUCUCAGUAAUUCUUUUUUUUGAGUGUGUUUCAGUGCCAAGGACAAGAAGUUGGCCAAGGAAUUAACCCAAGGCAGGAAGGAGCCUCAAAAAGUGAGCAAGAUCAACAGAGUUGCUCCUUACUUGGCGAUGGAGGAACUGCAGUGCUGGAUUACACCUGAGGAACACCUACCCUAAGCCUCGUCUCCCUGGGCCAAAUCUUGCUCUAGGGUAAGUUGACAAUGCUGGGACUGAACCCUGGUUGCCUUUUGGCUUUACUUGAACUGUUUCAAUAAUUCUUUCUUCCUCUAAGUGUUUUUGGGAACUAUACAUGCAGGCAGCUGUAAUGAUUUUGCUUCAGUCCCAAAUUCCUGGCCCACUGUGUUCUGACCUAGAACUUUCAAUAGCUUUUCCAGUGGGGAUCUCAAGCAGGUUCUCUGCUGGUUUUCACGCAAGACGGAAAAGGUCUCCGAGCACAAGCAGGUGAUGCAGAGAAAAAACUGAAUAAAACCCAGCAAUCACCAAAAAUGUACUUGAUGUGCUGAUCAGAGACAGUUUAAAGGGUGCAGUCUCUCUCUGGGUCACUGAGCCCUGAGCUAGCGUCGUGAUAACAUAAAAUUGAUGACUUAGGGGUGCCACGGUAACUUGGAGACCUUUGAGAUGCAUGUCACAAGGAGCACAAAUGAGUAAGAUGGGUUUUCAUCCUGAAAAAAGAAGGAAAUCCCUGAUCAACAGCUGUCCCUCUUGUAGUUAUGUCAGGAGAGAAGCCAAGGGUGAAAUGUGCCGCUGAGGGCAGAGAAUUGCCUGGCCAGUGGUGAGGUCCCAACCGAGGGAAUGCAGGUGGGAGGAAGCUGUCCUGUGCCCUGCGUGGUGUCUGCUUUGGAGACAGAUCUGCUUCAGCUCCAGAACGAGUCCCUCUCACACAUUUUGCCUGAAGCUUGCUGGAGAGAAUCUUUCCAGAAAGGCAAGAUGAACAGGAAGAUCUGAGCCAGCAGGGAAACGUGUUCUGCUGUCCCUACCAGUUCACCCGUGCCACCAGACGGGAGGUCCCUGCAGCCAGUGUUCUUCCCUGGCUUCCUACCGCUGGCCAGAGAACUUGGAAACAAACCCCCAUUGACAACCUUUUGUCACGUGGAGCUGGAAAUGGUCAGUGCUUGGGGCUUGUCCAAGCAGCUUAGAACUCUAAAGGGCACAGGCUGCCUUCCUGUUGCUCUGACGAUCCUCUGUGCCCCUCUGCCGUGGCCAGCACGAUGCAGCUGGCUGAUCCUAGCCCUAGAGAAAUCCCACGUUAACUUCUGACCUUCCCAAAAUCUACCAACAAAAUCCCGUGCAGGAAGCUAGCGCAGAGGAAAGCGCCCCAGUAAAAUAACCCCAAAGAGAAGCAUUCAUCCUCGUGAUUUACUGCGUGUAUUCGAGUAGCACCUGAGCUGCUGCUGCACCUGUGGCCCUUUAGUAUGGGACACGAGACAAACUGGUCCUGGCCUCCUCAAACUGGACUUGAGAGGUGAUGGAGGCAGGGGGAGAGGGAAGUAAGGAAGUCGAUAGCUGCACCGAUCGGUAUUGGCUCUAGAUAUAAGCUUGGUGUGCUUUGGUGAUAAAAAUAAAUGAACUAGAUAUGCUGACAAACCAUUAGCGUUUGCCUAAUCAUUAUCCUCGGGCAGCUUUCCACAGGCAAUAGAUCUGCAAGUCGCCUGCCUUGCAGACUGUCGCCAGUGCAGCCCAGCGAU
Molecule: non-coding RNA, 3871 nt
Organism: Anas platyrhynchos (mallard)
Lineage: Eukaryota; Metazoa; Chordata; Aves; Anseriformes; Anatidae
Source: RefSeq, a predicted model, not a curated record